RNAcentral lists this ribosomal RNA (497 nucleotides) under uncultured bacterium. RNAcentral's name for it is "partial 16S ribosomal RNA". It matches the Rfam family "Bacterial small subunit ribosomal RNA", at positions 28 to 507 of the family's 1533-position model. The record is from RNAcentral.
GAUGAACGCUGGCGGCGUGCCUAAUACAUGCAAGUCGAGCGAACGGACGAGAAGCUUGCUUCUCUGAUGUUAGCGGCGGACGGGUGAGUAACACGUGGAUCACCUACCUAUCAGACUGGGAUAACUUCGGGAAACCGGAGCUAAUACCGGAUAAUCUUUUGAACCGCAUGGUUCAAAAGUGAAAGACGGUCUUUCUGUCACUUAUCGAUGGAUCCGAGCUGCAUUAGAUAGUUGGUAAGGUCACGGCCUACCAAGGCAACGAUGCAUAGCCGACCUGAGAGGGGGAUAGGCAACACGGGAACGGAGACACGGUCAAGACGCCUACGAGAGGCAGCAGUAGGGAAUCUUCGGCAAUGGGCGAAAGCCUGACGGAGCAACGCCGCGUGAGUGAUGAAGGUCUUCGGAUCGUAAAACUCUGUUAGUAGGGAAGAACAGAUGUGGAAGUAACUGUGCACAUAUUGACGGUACCUAAUCAGAAAGCCACGGCUAACUACGUG